AUUGAACGCUGGCGGCAGGCCUAACACAUGCAAGUCGAACGGUAACAGGAAACAGCUUGCUGUUUCGCUGACGAGUGGCGGACGGGUGAGUAAUGUCUGGGAAACUGCCUGAUGGAGGGGGAUGACUACUGGAAACGGUAGCUAAUACCGCAUAACGUCGCAAGACCAAAGAGGGGGACCUUCGGGCCUCUUGACAUCGGAUGUGCCCAGAGGGGAUUAGCUUGUUGGUGGGGUAACGGCUCACCAAGGCGACGAUCCCUAGCUGGUCUGAGAGGAUGACCAGCCACACUGGAACUGAGACGCGGUCCAGACUCCUACGGGAGGCAGCAGUGGGGAAUAUUGCACAAUGGGCGCAAGCCUGAUGCAGCCAUGCCGCGUGUAUGAAGAAGGCCUUCGGGUUGUAAAGUACUUUCAGCGGGGAGGAAGGGAGUAAAGUUAAUACCUUUACUCAUUGACGUUACCCGCAGAAGAAGCACCGGCUAACUCCGUGCCAGCCGCCGCAGUAA
Molecule: ribosomal RNA, 506 nt
Filed under: uncultured bacterium
Lineage: Bacteria
Description: partial 16S ribosomal RNA
Rfam family: Bacterial small subunit ribosomal RNA
Source: RNAcentral